GAAUACCAGUGGCGAAGGCGGCCUCCUGGAUCUGUACUGACACUAAGGUGCGAAAGCGUGGGUAGCGAACAGGAUUAGAUACCCUGGUAGUCCACGCCGUAAACGAUGACAACUAGCUGUUGGGAGACAAUGUCUUUCAGUGGCGCAGCUAACGUUUUAAGUUGUCCGCCUGGGGAGUACGGCCGCAAGGCUAAAACUCAAAUGAAUUGACGGGGACCCGCACAAGCGGUGGAGCAUGUGGUUUAAUUCGAUGCAACGCGAAAAACCUUACCUACUCUUGACAUACUUGGAAGCUCUUGUAAUGAGAGUGUGCCUUUUGGAGCCAAGAUACAGGUGCUGCAUGGCUGUCGUCAGCUCGUGUCGUGAGAUGUUCCGUUAAGUCGGAUAACGAGCGCAACCCUUACCCUUAUUUGCCAGCGAUUCGGUCGGGAACUAUAAGGGGACUGCCGGUGAUAAACCGGAGGAAGGUGAGGACGACGUCAAGUCAUCAUGGCCCUUACGAGUAGGGCUACACACGUGCUACAAUGGGGAAUACAGACGGACGCUAAAGCGUGAGCUGGUGCUAAUCCUAAAAAAUUUCUCGUAGUCCGGAUUGCAGUCUGCAACUCGACUGCAUGAAGUCGGAAUCGCUAGUAAUCGCGAAUCAGCAUGUCGCGGUGAAUACGUUCUCGGGUCUUGUACACACCGCCCGUCACACCAUGGAAGUGUGUUGCACCAGAAGUAGGUAGUCUAACCUUCGGGAAGGCGCUUACCACGGUGUGAUCCAUGACUGGGGUGAAGUCGUAACAAGGUAACCGUA
This 799-nucleotide ribosomal RNA is filed under the name uncultured bacterium. Its description in RNAcentral is "bacterial SSU rRNA". It matches the Rfam family "Bacterial small subunit ribosomal RNA", at positions 704 to 1504 of the family's 1533-position model. The record is from RNAcentral.